This is a long non-coding RNA of Dromaius novaehollandiae (emu), 6469 nucleotides long. RefSeq lists it as uncharacterized. Lineage: Eukaryota; Metazoa; Chordata; Aves; Casuariiformes; Dromaiidae. The transcript is spliced from 2 exons. The record is from RefSeq and is a predicted model, not a curated record.
UCUGGGAUGCAGCACUUACACAACAAGCUGGCCUUCUCUCAGAAAAAGCUGCCUGGCCAAAGGAGCUGGCAUCUGCAGCCAUCUGGUAUUUUUGGGAAGGCUGAGGAUGUUUUGUGCUCGAUCAAACUCCAAUACCAGAGUGAUUCGCCUGAUAUCUAAAAAUCUGGAUUCAGCUUUUAGAAAAGAAGCUGCACUUUGCCCAGGAAAGCAAAGCAGCACGAAUGGCUCGUUGGAUGUAUGCUGAUUCCUGCCUCAGGACUGCUUGGGUAACCAUCUGAGGGCUUCAGUCCCUUCUGGCUGUGUUUUAAUCUUUGUUUUCACGUUGUUUUCUGCAAAGCAAUGUGAAGAAUCUCUGCUGCAUAGACAUGUGUGUCCCCAUGCCUCUGUACUUUUGCAAGUUAAAGUGUCUAGAGUUCUCUUUAAAAAGUCACGAGUUUUCACGGAGGAAAAAUAUAAUCAUUUUACCCAAGACGACUGCUCCUAUUCCAGUAUAAACUGUCUCCAAACAUGGAACAACAGCGUGCCGUUUGGUUCCAUGGGCCAGCAAUGCUGAAUGAAUUGGCAGAUGCUGCACUUCUACAUGAUCUCUAGUAGCCAGGCUGUUAGAACAGCGCUCUUCUUUAUUUACAGUUUUCGUUCAAAUUGAAAAGAUCUGAUCUGCCAAAAAAAGUGCCCCUCACUGAAGCUCCUGCCCCCGAUCUGAUUAACUGGAGCCUGGCGUUGUAGGGAAUUGCUGGGUGCGCUCACCCGGCCCGUGGUGGGUGCUGAGAGUCUCCGCUCGGCUUUUGCAAGGACUCGCAGUUGGACACACAACAUAUAGACUGAUGAUGAGGUAGAGAUUUUCUCACCACUGCCUGCUGUUGCUGGCUCUAUGGAUGUUCAUACUGCUGGCUCGAGGGAAAUCAAGCCUUUCUGGGAAGUGGCUACUCCCUAUCCUCUUUAUACAGAAAAUGUAUUGUUAUUAUUUGAAAGCACUUUUGUAUUGCUCUUAGACUACAAGUAUGGCGAUUGUUCAAUUAGAAGACAUCAUGGUGCAUAGCAGUGAAAUACGACGUACAGUACCAUGCAGUAUGUAUUUUCCAGAUAAACUGUGAAAAUGGUGAAAUGGAUCUGCAAAGUGUGGGCACAAUAGCUGCUUUACAUUCCUUCACAUGUGUGGAAUUUAUACGCGCCACAGAGUGACUCUGUUUUGUUACCAUGUGUUUAAGAUAAUCUGAUGAUUAGUCGUAUUUCUGGCAGUUUUCAUUUUCUCGCUUGUAUCUGUGGUCCAAGCACAAAGUCGCAGAGACUUCAGAUCGAACACGGCCAUGAAUUAGUGCCGGCCAAGCCCUCCCACAAUUUAUUUCCACUACGACAGAGAGAGAGAACAGACUUAACAGUUGAAAAACACAAGAGAUUCUUUCUCCUUCUCAUCCAGGGGCAGCUCAAGCAAUUUGCCAGAUAGAAGUAUUUGGCCGCCUUUGCAGACCGCGGAUCAUUCGAUCGAGACUUUCCAGCCCGGAGGUGCAUCUGCCGCGGGCCCCACCUUGCCCGGGAAGCUGCAGCCUGAAACGUGCAGCCGCGGUGCGGCGCAGAGCCUCGCCGUGUGUCGCGACUCGCAGUUCAGCUCGUGUAACGACGACGGCAGGAGCGGCUGCCAAAAAAUAAUCCGCGUCUGCCGCGCGCCGACUCCUGCGUGUAUUGAAAAGUCCCGUAAUCAGGAGGAAGGAGGCAGGUCCUCGUGCGCGGUUUCUAUUGAUCUUGGCGAGGCUGACGAAGCUAGCUGGGAAAGCAAUAGAGCUGCUCCUGCGCCUGGCAAGCCCGCGACUGACCGCUAACAGCCACCGGCAGCGUCACACGCUCUGCUCCGCCUGACGGGAACGCUCAGAUGUGUCCAGCACAUGUGACGAUGGGCCAAUGUGGGACAAAUUACCAUGAGAUGGCAGGAUGGUUCAUGUCCUUGACACAUAUCCAGUAAAGCAUCACACCCUCUCCUAUUGCCUGCGUGUUGGCUCCUAGCCCAGGAUUUAGCUUUUAAUGAAGUAAGAGAAAAACAGAAUUAACUGAGGGGGGCUUUUUAAAACUUGCAUUUUAAGGGGGCAGGAGAAGGUACCAAAGUCGCCAGCGGUUCCCAAGGAGCACGAGAACGAGCCCAACAAAGGCGCUCUUGUACGAGCGAGGAGAUGCCGCAGAACCUGUGUCUGGAUGAAAGCUGCCCUAUCAAAAUAGCCAUAAACAAACCCGCCUCCUCGGCUACAGAAAAGCUGUUGUGCCAGGAGCAUAUUAAAUUGUAUAUGCUUUUUCUCAAGGCAAAAGAAUUGCAGCAGUGACGGCAGCUGUGUGUGCUGGAGCUGAGCCACUGUAUUCAACUAAUGAAGGCCUUGCUGAGGACGGGGUGGGGGAAGGACUGCAGAUGAAUGUAUUAUUCAGAGAGACCCACACUGAAAUAAUCUACCGGCACUUGGGAUAUGCGGUAGGAAAAAAAAAAAGUGAUUGCCCACUCGCCGAAAGCUAAUGCCUUUGCCAGAGGGCAGCACAGGUGAUGGGCCGAAUCUCUUCCCACGCUGGAAGCUGCAGCCCGGGGGUAUUGCUGUUUAUGGGGUGAAGCACGGUGCCUCUUUUUUCCUUCUGCAUGUUUCCCUGUUUGGUCUAAACCUCUCGCAGCAGAGCCGGGCUGCAGCGGAAGGGUCUGCUCCGUCCUGCCCAGCGCGGGCCCUGGAAGCAGUGAGCAGCAGGGGAGAGGCAGGGUAACCUGGUCCUCCGUGAGCCCGAGCUCUGCUGACUGCUGCCUGCUUGGUCACAGAUGUCAUGAGUAAGUAGGAAAGAAGUGGCCUCAAUCAUGGAGAGAGGAUCGUCUCGGCCCGUUUCUCCCCAGGCGAGGUGGCCGGCUGCCGGGCCCGCCGGGGAGAGGUGCAGCCGCUUCGGGAUUCACCGAGCACCCGCCAGCAGCUGCCCCUUUGCCUCCGCAGUGCCCUGCGCCGGGGCUCAGGAGGGAUCGCUGUGCCCUCCACAACCCUCCAAACAUGGGCAUGAACAACAACAGAAUAGGAUUUCAUCUCCAUCCACACUGUCUCGGCCACCUGUGAAAUGAAUGCUGCUACCAGUGUUAGGUGCUCAUUGCUCGGUGGGUGGAGGUCUUUGAGUUUCCUUUCUGCUCACGCUUUCCUCCCAACUCCUUGGACUAUGAAAAGGCCAAGCCUGAAUGUUGCAGCCCCCCGAGGAGACACACAUGUAGCACCCGUGUGAGCCCGGCUCAGCUGGAGACCUUCUCGAGUAUGGAUGACUUGCUGUUUAUGGAAAGCACUCGAGUGCAGGAGAGAUCGUGCUACAGUUAAACAGACAAUGCUUAAAGGGCCAUUCCCUGCCGCCCCGGCUAACGCAGCUUUUCUCUCUGUUCUCCAGUAAAGAAGGGCUUCUGCAGCCAGAUGGAUGGGUGCAGUGUCACAAAACGCUGCUUAAGGUAAACAACCGCUAUAUCCAGGCAGAUGGGGAAGAUGGUUCCACAUUUCACUUCUUGCAAGAAAGGAGAAAUCCAGUUGUGGUGCAAAUGCAGGGAAUGGGUCCUCCGGGCUUCUGGGAGUCGCAGUCGGACCUGCGACACAGCUGGACAAUGCUAAAAACGUGCCCUGGGAAACAGAGAUGGUGGCUGGGAGACCAGAGGGGCUUUGGCAAUGGUUGCUCCCAGCUCCCCAUCCACAGCGUGCCACAGUCACAGGCCAGUUACUUCGCUUCGCCGUGUCCUCUCUGCAUUUCCCAUCAGUGACGUGCCGAGUGGUUAUAAAGGCGCUUUAUUGGCUUCGAGUGAGAAACUGCAUAAGCACGAAGUAUUGAGAUUAAGCAGUCGCAGAGCGCUGAAUUCCCCGGGACACACGGCUGGGCAAGGGAUGCCCCAACGUGGGCCGUCUGCUCCGCUCCGGCCACCGCCGCCACAGAGGCUAUGGGAGCAGCAGGCUGCCACGUUUCCAGGAGAUGUAAGAAAGCAAAAAGAAAAAUGUACAUAACUCUGCACUAGACUUUUUGAAAAACAAAGAAAAACAAAGAAAAACGAUCCUUCUAUUUGCUCUUCUCCUUCUUAUUAACUGGGUUUCUGUGACAAAAAGGGUCAGAAAUUGAAUUAGGAAACUUCACAGCCAUUGCAAACACCUACGGUUCACAAUAAAUUAGCUCUCCCGCUCCAGCAGUCAUCAUAUCUCCUGCGUCCUGCGAGAGAAGCUGGAUCCUGCGGCCUCUGGUGUGUGCGGAGCCGAGGACGUGUGUAUCGUUCUUGUGAGUUUUAUUGUAAGGGAGGGAAUCUCACAGGACAAAUGUGUAAUGUUGUAGGAGCAACAAGGUUGCAUGGAUACCAGAACACAAACUGGGCUUGCACUUUGAGGACACAAAUUCUUCGGAAGAAAACUAUCUCGCUGUGUUUGGAUGGAGCUUAAUAAAAUGGACUGCUCCAAGCUAGGCCUCUACGGGCUUCCAAGUCACAAACAAUGAAGAAUAAUAUCACAAUUUUAUGGUACUUAGCAUGGCUGAGUUACAUCCUGGAUAGUCUCCACAGAAUCGCCACGACUGGCUUUGAUUUGAGUCAGAGGAGCAGAGUUUUACACCCACAUCGCUCAGGAUAAAUGAGUACGCCGUGCGCAGGGCCCUGGGGACCAAGGCCGCAGCGUAUUACUUUCAUUUACAAAGUCCACCGACCUCGUAUACCUUAAACUGUGCUGGUACUUCAACAGUUUUUCAGCUGGAUGAACUAAGUAUUACUGACAAACCACAGCCUGUUUUUAACAGCCAAAUCCACCGGGCAGAAGCUGUCCUGGACUUGCAGUGAUUCCACUGUCCCAUGGGGUGGAGACCCGGGAGCAACUUCCUACACCCAUGAAAAUAGCGCCCGGGGUGGUAUGUGAGUGGCCUGGUUUAAUGCCUAAACACGGUAUCUUGCUCCAGCCCUGAAGGUGCAGUGUGUGUCACGCUGCCGUGGCUCCUGCCAGCCCACUGCGACAGGCAGAGUUGGGUCUCGCCGCCCACUGAAGGCUCCCAUGGGACCUAUCCCGUUCCCAGCAGAGCAAAGGGUCUCCAGAAAUAUCGUGGCUCGGAGUUAUUGACCCACGCAGGGCAAACAGGCUGCAGCAACCUGGUGUAUUCACUUUCCGGGGCACCGUGUAGCUUUACGGAGCCCUUUCUGAUCGCUCUGGUUAACUGAAACCCCGUAGCAGAUUUGCAUCUUGUGAGUAUUUGAAAAUUAUCAACCAUGAAAGCAUCUGGAAAGCUGCACCAAAGAAAGUUUCAAAGAAAACAGAGCUCUGCCAGAAGGACGGAGCCAGUGAAGAGAUCCAAAAGGAAGAGCUGGAAAAGAAGGAAAUAAUAUUUGUAGGUGUAACAGCUGGAAUAACAACUGUUUUGCCUGCUCUCCUUGCGUCUUGCCUUGUUGCUCUUCAUGGACCAGUUUUCAGGGAAGAGCCUGGUUUUCCUGCCGUAAGACCGUUCUGCGUUUGUGCUCCCGUGCCUGGACUUCACUCACACCUAGGACAUCUUUGUGCCCGUCUCCCAAGGCAGGUGCCAAUCGAGCAAGAAGGAAGAUGACCUACCCCCACCGUGGGCACGUACCUCUCCGAAACUACAAGCCAAAGAAAUGAACGUUCAAAAACAGAGAGAAACCCCCCAAAGCGGGUGAGCUUCCUGCGUAGCACUGUGGAUUUGAUUUUCUGCACUUCUAUUGCUGGUAUCGGAUCGUUCAGCACUGAUGCUCAGUGAUGCGGGGUCUGAAUUUCUGAGAGCAUUUCUUAUGGUCCAUUGCUGGAGCCAAGACCCUCCUUGCUGUUGGUGUAUUUUCAGCUGCCGUGAUAGGACACAUCUAGCAGGAUGCACUCAAUCACUCUGGAUAGCCCCAAACAGCCCACUACCAUAAAAGGACCCCUCCACCCGAUAAACCUACCCCAAACUCAUUCUGUUCUGAUUCAUUUUAAUGUGAUCACCAAGGAGGCAAAGUCCCGGAUCGCCUGCUGUCCCUCCUGUCGCGGCUCGGCCGCCCCCCAGCCCGCACACCCUUUCUGCAGCCCAGGAAGCUUCUUUGAAACAUGAGUUGGUCCCACCACGGGGCUCGACCGAGCCGUGUUUCUGACACCUGAGCCUGCACUCGUUUAAAGGAGAGGUGUAAACGGGGCUGGAAACCUGAUUUGGGGGCACCCUGGGUUUAUGCUUGCAGAAACUGCUCAUGUCACUGAAGUAGUUUCAUUUUGUGUCUGUAUGAAGGAGCUUCAGCAUGUCCCCAAGCCAAGUGCUGUGCAAAGCCCGAGCUCCUCCCUCUCAGCCGCCUGUAAUGUUCUACUAUAAUUCCUGACAUUUGAGGGACUUUUAGCAGUAUGUGCAACACCUUUAAAUUAGACAAGUACUAUCUUGCUUGCUCCUGUUAAAUACAUAAGAAAGAGCAAAACAUAAUUUUCUGAUGCUCUGUUAUUUGUACUGAUUUUCUUUUAAACCUAUAAAUACCACCCUGUCACUCUUUCUA